This 28230-nucleotide long non-coding RNA is filed under the name Oryza sativa (Asian cultivated rice). RNAcentral describes it as "long non-coding RNA (OSAT_LNC000235)". The record is from RNAcentral. Lineage: Eukaryota; Viridiplantae; Streptophyta; Magnoliopsida; Poales; Poaceae.
UCAUGGAUGAGGGUGUGCUACUACCCUUGCUGUUUCCGCCGCCGCUGCCGGCCGACGACGACGCCACCGGCGGCGUGAGCCCAAGCUGGGUGUACCUCGAAGACAGAGCUUACGUCUCCCCCGAUGCAGUCUCCAACUCCACCACCGCCUUCUCCACCACCACCACCGGCGUAAACAUCCAUGUCUCCUUCUGCCUCGCCCGCCCGCCGCGCCUCUCCUACCUCUGCGUCCACUGCCCCCGCCCCGGCGACGGCGAGGGCGCCUACCGGUUCACUGUCGAUCCCCAAGUCCUCGGCACGCACACCGAUGUAGCCCUCCUCCGCGUCCCGCACCCCAACGAUGGGCUCCACCGCGGCAUCAAAUCCUACGACUACUUCGUCUACACGGCCGGCGGCGCCACCUCGCUCCGGCUGCUGCCGAACCCGCGCGUCUCCCCCUUCCGCAACGAGGAGGUCGCCAUCGUCCGCUGCUCCGGCGGCGCCCGCUACGUCAUCGCCUGCCUCAUGCCAACCAUCAGGCGCCCCAUGGAGUUCAAGGUUAUGCGCUUCGACUCCGACGUCGGCCGCUGGAAAUCCACGGCGGUGUCCAUCAGCGAGCCGGUCGAGAGGGACAGGGUGCUCCCCAUCCCUGACACGGCCAGCCAGGUGGUCUUCCACUGCACCACCAAGGUCAUCACGCUCGGCGGCACCAUCGGCUGGGUGGAUCUCUGGAGAGGGAUCCUGCUGUGUGACGACGUGAUUGACCAACACCCGGUGCUCCGCGACCUGCCACUGCCCAAGCCAGCGAGAAGCAACCGCAAAUCCUUCUGCAGAGGGCCGCCGCAUCAUUACCGGGACAUCACCGUCGUCGUGCAGGACUCUGUUCCCACCUGCAUCAAGUACGUCGAGAUGGAGACCCGCCCCGGUGAUCGGCCACCUCCUCGACAACGACAGCCGCCGCAACAUUCUGAUGACUCUGACUCUGAUGAGGAAGAGGACGUUGCUUACUACUGGAAGGCUAACAUAUGGAGCAUGCCGAUACCAGUUGGUUCAUGGGGGGAUUGGCAGAUGGAGUGCACGGUGGAUGUCACCGACAUCGCCGUCGUCGACAAUGUCAGGUUCAGUGAGCUGCUGCCAAAGAUUGGCAAUGAUCCAGAGGAGACAUUGAGGAGGCUGGUCACAGGUUUCCCCACAUUGGGUAUGGAUGGGGAUGUCAUUUCUUUCCUGUCCAAGAUCAAUCGCUUGGAUGAUCAGGGAUGGGUUAUCUCUGUUGAUCUGAGGAGUAAGACGCUGCAAGGCGUGGCUGAGCUUGAUGAGAGGAAGAAUUUCCUCUUCGAGCGCUACUACAACACCAGUGAGAUCUCCAAAUAUCUUAUCAAGGCUACAGGUUUGCUUUAUAACUGUUGCACCAUAAUACUCCGAUAAUCUAAUGGAUAGUUCAUAACCUUCACUUUGACUACUGUUUACAAGUUGUCUGGUUAGAAACUUGAUUCAUAUGAGUGUGUUUAAUUUUCAGGGUGCACUCCUAGGAUUUGUUUUUGAAGUGCCACUUAAACCCUCUCUCUGUAUGUUGUGUGUUUGAUGCAGGUGAGGCAGGAACUCUUGUAAAAACUGGGGUUAAUAGAGUCUCAAGAAAGAAGAAGUAGGAAUUAAUUAAUGAAUCACGUAGGCUAUCUGGGUUGAAGAAAUGAAACGAGCUGCAGAGACUGGGCGAUUAAUGAGCUACUUUAUCAGAGUUGUUCUGUUCAAGACAUGCUACUUUCUGUAAUGGAUUUGGUUUUCGCCUAUCUAUCCUGAGUUAAACUGUAUCUUCCCCUGAUGAUUGGCCGGAAAUGGAUACUCAGGAAUUUUGUUCAGUUAUUAUACUAUAAUAAAAUGUCAAGCUGGCGACCCCAUCGUUAGAGUUCGUGUUUUACCUUUCGUUUUGUAAUGAACUCUCUUGCUUUCCGGCUUUCUUCAAAAGCCAGAUUUCGUUCGAAAUCAGCAAAAAAAUUUCUUCAAAAAAUUUCGUUCGAAAUAUCAGAAUUUGUCUGAAAUUUCGGAAUUUCGGUGCCCACCGAAAUUUUCUUGCUUCUCCGAAGGGAAAACCCUGGCUGGAGGACCAUCCGUCGGCCGGCGAGGAACGGCGGCGGAGCUCCGGCUGCUGUAGGGAGGGAGGCGCCCGCGGGCCGGCGUCGGCGAGGAGGCCCCGCGAUCCGUGGAAAUAGCAUAAUGGCUUCACGCGACGUCAUGGCAAUUACAAUUAGCGAGCGAGAUAGGCCGGAGUUCGGAUCGAACGACGAAAUUCAAUCCAAUCAAGCCCCCUCGUAGCUGAUCUCCGAUCGGAUCGCCGCCUUAUUCCGCCCUGAUCGAACGACUGUUAUUUGAUGUAUUUAUAUCGAUUAAGUUGUUUAUAUAAGUCUGUAUUGGAGUAAUAGCCAAUACAGUAUCUAUUAUUGCUCUAAAUACUGAAUUAUCGGCUAUUUCUAUAAUAUUGUAUAGAAGCGAUUGAUAAAAACAAAAGAGAUACUCCCUCCAUUUCAGGUUAUAAAAUGUUUUGACUUUGAUCAAAGUCAAACUGUUUCAAGUUUGACCAAAUUUGUACUCAACCCAAGACAAAUUUAUUAUUAAAAUAUAUUCAAUUAUUAAUUUAAUAAAACUAAUUUUGACUAUAAAUAUUACUAUAUUUGCAUAGGAAUAAGUUCGCUUGAGAUCCCUUAACUUGGGAAUCUGAUUUUCGUCCUUCAACCAUAAAACCAGAUACAACGGGUCCCUCAAUUAUUAAAACCGAUACAAAGCAGGUCUCUCAGCGGUUUUGAUGGUGGUUUUGGCUGAUGUGACGCCUACGUGGCCGGUUUGACUUGGUCUUUGUCCUACGUGGCGAUGAUGUGGCACUAGAAGCAAAAUUAAAAAUAAAACAAAAAUGUGGGGCCCAUGUGUCAGUUAGACAAAAAGGAAAAACAGUGGGACCCACCCCAUCCUCCCUAUCCACGGACGACGGGAGAGGGCCGACCGGCCGGCGCCUCCUUCUCUCUCCCUCCCGGCCAUCCUUCCUCCCCGGCCGGCGAGCGCGCACGGAGAGGGAAAAAGGCGCCGGCCGGGGAGGAAGGAUGGCCUGGAGGGAGAGAGAGUAGGAGGUGCCGGCCGAUCACCCCUCUCCCGUCGUCCGUGGAUAGAGAGGAUGGUCCACUGUUUUUCCUAUUUAUCUAGCUGACAUGUGGGCCCCAUAUUUUUUUUUAAUUUUUAUAAUUUUUAUAUUUUUACAUUUUGCUUCUAGUGCCACGUCACCGCCACAUAGGACGAGGACCAAGUCGAACCGGCCACGUAGGCGCCACAUCAGUUAAAACCACCAUCAAAACCGCUGAGGGACCUGCUUUGCACCGAUUUUGAUAGUUGAGGGACCCGUUGUAUCUGGCUUUUUGGUUGAAGGACGAAAAUCGGAUUCCUUAACAAGUUAAGGGACCUCAAGUGAACUUAUUCCUAUUUGCAUAUAAAUUUAGUCAAACUUAAAAUAGUUUGACUUUGACCAAAGUCAAAACGUGUUAUAGUCUGAAACGGAGAGAGUAGUAUUGUAGCCGAUAGGACAUACUUCAUCUGUUUCAGGUUAUAAGACUUACUACUCUCCUGGUUUCAUGUUAUAAGACGUUUUGACUUUGGUCAAAGUCAAACUACUUCAAGUUUGACUAAGUUUGUAGAAAAAAUAAUAACAUUUUCAACACAAGACAAAUUUAUUAUGAAAAUAUAUUCAAUUAUUAAUUUAAUGAAACUAAUUUGAUAUUAUAAAAUUACUAUAUUUGUUUAUAAACUUAGUCAAACUUAAAGUAGUUUGACUUUGACCAAAGUCAAAACGUCUUAUAACCUGAAACAGAGGGAUUAUUUAGAGUUUGUCACUUGUUUAUCAUAAAGCCGCAGCCGAUUUGGUUUAACUGCAUCAGCUGGGUCUUGACGGUACGUCACCCAGGGUUAUUGUAAAAAACAUCAUUCUGCUAGUACUGUUUUAUUUCUAGAAGCGCCACUUAUGAUCCAUUCAAUUUUUAAUGUUUGAUGCCGUUUACUGCUGGAUAUAAUUUGACCAUUCGUCUUAUCAAAAUAUUAUGCAAAUAUUAAAAAUGUAAUUCUGCUAAAAGUUCUUUAGGCAUUAAACAAAUAACAAUAAGAUAAAUAAUAAUUACAUAAUUUUAAUAAAACAAAUGAUCAAAACGUACGUCCAAAAGUUAAACGCGUAAAAAAUAAAAACAGAGAGAGUAAUUAUUACUCCAUCAGGAGAGUAAUUAUUUCAAAAAUAAAGUGUUUAUUAGAUAUUUUGACUGCAUUCACAGACUAGUUAAGGGCUUAACUAAAAACUGCACUUUACUAAAUCACAGUGGUGUCUGUCAUGAUAACGUUUUAGAGAGGAUCAAUUAGUUUCCGACCGUUUGAUCUACUCCUAAUCAUGCAGUCGCCAGGCGAUAGCACAAGAUAAAGAGAAAGUACUUAGCGCCUGCAUGCGGCUGGUGCUGCCAAUACCAUGCAUUAUUUGUGGGACUGCAUGGCCUUCCAUAGGUUGGAAGAAAAAUUAGUUUGGUGGGUGAGAGAAAAGGCAGAUUAAGGGCUUGUCCGUUUUAGAGAAAAACAAAGCAUUUGGAUUCAUAAGAUUAAUUUUUAUGAGCGUCAUUCCAUUUGUUGGAUUGAGGUAUAGGAAAAUCAAAGGAAAGUUUCCUUUCCUACAAGUUGUAUAGAGAAAACAUAGGAAUUUUUCCAUCCACUCAAACAUGUUGGAAAAAUUCCUAUGGAUUGAUGUAUGCAAACAUUCCUAUUCUUGCACCUUUUCUAUUCCUAUGGAUUCAAAUUCCUCAAAAUCGAAUAAGCCCUAAAGUGGUGGGGGCCUAAAUUUGAUUAUAUUUAAAAGUUGGAUGAUAGAUUUUUUGGAAAUUUUUGUAUAGUAAUCCAAUAGCUAGUUAUUGUAUAUAUUAGCAAUUCCUACCUUUGAUGUGAACAACUUUGGAGACAACCGCUAGCUCUCUUAUAUAUAUUAAACUUGCUUUAGUUAAGAAUAUAUUGCGAGAGAGAGAGAGAGUAAAGGCACGUUCAAUAGUAAAGACGAGUAUGGUCGCUUAGGCAAUAUAAGAUUAUUUAGAAACCAUGUCUUUACAACAGUGAGAUGAUAAAAGCUCUAAUAUAACCAUUAAUUAAAAAUAAGAUUCUUUUAUUUCCAUUGUUUCCUUUUUUUUUCACCCUCAUACAACUAUGUUUUCAUUGUAUGAAGGCUAAAAGCCGUUGUUAGGCAUGUUCAAAUCAGAGCCCAUAUAUAUAUAAACGCUUAAAUACUACCUUCGUCCUAAAAUAUAAGCAUUUUUAGCUAUGAAUCUGGGCACUAGCUAAAAAUACUUACAUUUUGGGACGGAGGUAGUAUUUAAGGGUUUAGUAACAUAUGUUUACUUAGAUACCAUGUCCUUACAACGGUGAACACAGCAAACACUCUAAACCAUUAAUCUACAAAAUUAUUUUUUAUUACUAUUAUUUCCUUGUUCACAUCUUUAUGCAGCAAAGUUUUCAUUUUAUAGAUGUUCAAAGUCGUCGCUAAAAAGUUGUUAACCAUAGUAAAAAUAAUGUUUGCCUCUCCUUGUUUCUCUCUCUCUCUAUCAUUUAGCAAACAUUUCUAAUUAGUAACGUUAAGAGACUACCAUUGCACAUGCCCUAAGAACAGGUACAAUAGAGUAGGUACAAUAGCAGGCUAUAAGUUAGCCAUAGACUCAUUUUGAGAAGAUAGAAGAUGUGAGAGAAUAGCGGCGGGCUACAGAUUUGUAGCCAGCUACAGUACGGACUUUAAAAUACAUGUGUAGUGUAUGACAGGUGGGACUAAAUAUUAAUUAUGUAGUAUAUGUUUAUAGGUAACUAUUGUAUAAAUUAGCUAUUAAGUUGACUAUAAAUAAUUUGAAGGUAGCAAUUUGCUAUACUAUUAAACUUGCUCUAAUACUAUAGUAUAUCCUUUUCCGUACAUGUAGCAAAAGCUUACUGUUCUAGGAGUAUUAAUUAUUGCUAGCUGAUCAUACCACGUUAGUCGUUAAGCAUGCAUGCAGCUAGGACUUAAGUGGUGCCCCACAAAUAGGGCUGGAAACGAGCCGAGCCAAGCCAGGCUCGGCUCGGCUUGCAAUGGCUCGUAACAAGGUAGGUUUGGCUUGACUCGGCUCGGUUAGGGAAACGAGCUAAAACAUAAACUCAGCUCGGCUUGUUUCCUGGCUCGAGCCAGCUCGAGCUGGCUUGCGAGCCUUCUGUUGAAGCUACAUAAUUUAUAAUCAUUAAGGAAAACAAUAACAAAUUAUCAACAUGUAAAAUUAAAAUAACUUUAUAUAUUCAAUUCAUUAGAAUAUAGAUAAUAAAUUACAUAUUGACAAAUAAUAACUCUAUUGGAAAAUAAAAUCAUCCAUAUAAAUAUAUGAUGGCCUAAGCUCACGAGCCAAAUCAAGCGGCUCGCGAGUUAGCUCGGGCUUGGCUCGUUUCAGGAACGAGCUAAAAAGGAGGCUUGGGCUUGGCUCGUUUGGCAUUCAAGCCGAGCUGAGCUAAGCGAGCUUGAGCCAAGCCCGAGCUGAGCUCACGAGCCCAAGCUUUUUUUCCACCCCUACCCACAAAUAACUAAUUAAUUCCUGCUUUGUGUUUGAAAAGGGAAACCAUACGUGCUUUUGUGCUUUUGUACGCAUGCAAAAAUUAUACCCCUACUUGCAUUAAUUAGCACGGUUAGUUGAUGUUGAUCCUGGUCGUGUAGUAUCUCUGUUUUAAAAAGGGAAACCACUUGCAUUAGCACGGCUUAAUUUGAUGCUACGUACACUUGCAUGCAUGGUUACGAACGUUCUAUAACUGCAUCACGAUGGUGGGGUUUUGAUAGAAGAGUCUACAUAGCCUUUAAUUGUUUGUUCGGCGUUCUAUGAAAUUAGAAAAAAUUCUACGUUGAGAAAAAAAAUGUAGACAUCCACUCGUCUAACGAGAAAUACCCAGGGGUCUUUUGGCUAACUCCAUAAGGUGGUGGGCUAUAUGAUCUGGGUUCAAAGCCUCACCAUUUCUAAUUAUUUGAUAUUAGGUCCUUUCCUAAUAUUCGAGUCUUUUUUUAUCCACUCGUUUAUGGUUCCAUGACAUUAAAAAAAACUAGAUGAAAAUAUAUAGAUAAAUAUAUGUUAAAUAUUAUAGAAAUGGUAUAUCGAUAUAUGUUGAAAUAUGUGAAAAUGAUGUGGUGAUGAUGACUUUGAUACGUUUGCAUGUUAAAAUCUAGAUUAUACACUAAUUUGUAAAUAAUAUUGUAUGUUUGUAUGUGCUUUAAAAUCAGUAAUAAUUGUUGGGUAAUGAUAUAACUUGUGUGCAUGUUCAGCUUUAGAAUAUACUGAGGUUAUAACUAAUAUCGUACCUAGGGAUUGAAGGUCCAACUGCGAAACACAUAAUGAGACUCUAAAAUUAAAUAUUACUCCGUAUUUUAAUGGAUGACGGUGUUGACUUUUUUGACCAAUGUUUGACUAUUCAUUUUAUUUAAAAUUUUUGUGCAAAUAUGAAAAUAUUCAUGUCAUGCUUAAAGAACAUUUGAUGAUGAAUUAAGUCACAAUAAAAUAAAUGACAAUUACAUAACCUUUUUUUAAUAAGACGAAUGGUCAAACGUUAGAAAAAAAUCAACGGUGUCAUAAAUUAAAAUAUAGAGGUAGUAUAAUUUAACCAAAGCAUGCUUUCCCAUAAUUAGAAACGAAUCAUCAAGCACAACCCAUCAAUGGGAUUGGGUAAAUGGGCCUUGUAAUCUUUAUGGUUUGUUUUUUUCUUCUGUUUACUAAGCCUUGUAAUUUGAUGCUAAUUAAGUAUAGAUAAUUACUACGAAUGAUAGACUUGUGGUCCUAAUUUUUUUUGGCCUGAACACCUGCACACCUUGUACUAUACCAGUAUACCGGCCAAUAUAUGACUCCAGUUGUAACUAUGGUAUAGGCUCUACGCUUGGGAGAAAAAAAAAAUAGUAGUGAGAUUGAGUUACAACGCCACCACUUGAAUCGGCAAUAAGAAAUUUUUACCUUCUAUACCUAUUCGAUCGAGGACCGUAAAUUUACUAGUAUUUAUUUAGAGAAAAAAAAGAGUUUAUAUACGUACUAUAUGUUACCAGUACCACACAGCCGAUUAGCUAUUUAAUGUUUUGAGACUGCAUCUUUAGAUCUUUUCAAAUUGAGCCACCUGGCUGUUGUUUUCGGCUGUAUAAAGAAAACGCAAACCCUCUUACUAAUAUUUAUAAAAACAUAGUACAAACGUAGUUGUCUAUAACACACGUAUACUUAUCUCUAUAAAUACACACACGUAUACCCUAUUCCUAUAAGUACCCAUAAAAGAUUAGGUCGGUGCAUCUUUGAUAUUGGUGAAGUUACCACGAACGUGUUGCUGUCGACGGGUAAUCAAGAAAAAGAAAUAAAACAAUAAUAAAAUGUGGUAGAAAUAAUAAAGGGAGUGGUUUGUUUGGACCAACGUACUCACCUGCUUGACAGUGUGUUUAGUUCAGCGUAAAGUUUAGAUUUUAGUUGAAAUUGGAGAUGAUAUGACUGAAAAAUUAUGUGUGUAUGACAGGUUGAUGUGAUGAAAAAGGACUGAAGUUUGGAUCCAAACUGAUCUAAACACAGCCAUAUACUCCUAUAUACACGGUACUCCUAGCUUGUGGUUCAACUUUAGUACUACUAGUAGCUUGUGGUUCAACACGUCUAUCCGAAGUAUAUAAGAACCCACGCCGGCCUCAGUGCGGAUGAGGCCGAGGGGUUUUUUACUUUACCCAUUGCCCUCCCACCUGCUCCCCCUCCUGCCCUCCCACCCUCUUGUGCGCAUUCCGUCGAGCACGUCGCGGGCGCACCUCCCGCCGCUGCCUCGGCUUGCCCCACCGCGGAUCGCAGAGCGAAGCAUCCCCGCUAGGCUACUAAAGAUGCCUCAUCAUGGUGGUAGGAAGAAGAAGAACAAGGGUGGGAAGGGGAAGCCUCGGAAGAAGACCGACGACCGCGGAGAGGCCAAUGUCGGGUCGGGCGACAGCUCGCCCGCCGUCCGCGUCGAGGAGGAGGCGGAGGUGGAGGCGGAGGCGGAGGUGGGGACGGCGGUCGAGCCGCAGCGCUCGGGAACGUUGGCCUCGCCCACUGACGUCGUCGAGGCAGCCCAACACGGCCAGCGGCAGCAGCAGGCCUCCCAGUCCCAACAGACACCAAGCCCUCGAAGUUAUGCAGCUGCAGUGGUGAACAAAAGAGAAGAUGAAACAGUUGGCUACAACUUCCUUCAGUUCCUUCGAAGGUAUCAACUAUUUCUUGGAUUGAUGUAUCCUAGAGAGCAUAAGACUAGCCCAAUGUGAUUUAUAAAAAUUGAAGAUGUGUUUCAUCAGAUCAAGUUCUUAUUACGAACGACAUAGCUGUCCUACUAUGUUUCUUCUUCCGACACAUGUGUGCACAUAAGUGAAGAUCCUACGUAAAAUCCAGUAAUCAUAAUAGGAGUUUUGGGAUGGGCUUAAAGCAGAGAACUGAAUCGGGCUCUCUUUUUUAAAGACUGGUUUGAGAUAUUUUUUGGGCCUUCCAUUGAGAAAAGAAGAUGUAUGCUGGGUGUAUCAUCGCCUCAAUGCUCUUCUGCUAAUUGGCUAUUUAUGUAGUCUGCUCGUCUCCAUGGCUCCAUAUGCAUAUGCAUGUAAAUCCAUUUCUUUUAGGGAAACUACCGUAGGAGAGCAUCCUACACAUGCACAUCCAAUUAAGCUCUCUGAUACAAAUAUGGACAUGUUUAUGAGUACAUGUCAGGAUUGCUCCCUGCAAUAAUGCAAAUAUGUCUAAAUUAAAUCCCAAUGAUUUCAUACAAUAGAAAAUUCAUAAAAUGCCAUCAUAAAUAUAAGUGAGUUGUGAAAUACUAUCGUAUACGAGAAUGAUCAUGUGGGGUCUGGACCCACAUGUUAAUGACAUAUACGAUGAUAUUUUUCAACUUCAUGAUCUUCGUGAUAGUUUUUCAUGAUCAUGUGGGGUCUGCACGGGCACUUUUUCUAGUCAUAUUAUAAUUUUUUUGAAGGAUGUAUAAAUUUGUUUUUUGACAUUAUAGUCUCAUGCAGCUUCACAGUAGAGCACAGAGAAGGGCCUUUCUAUGCUGGGGAACUAAAGAGUAUGGUCUAUCAGAACAGCAAAACUUUUUGUGUCUACUAUGGGCACUUCCAAGGACAAUAUGCAAACCUGGGUACAAAAAUAUCCAACUCAUAUGCGAGGUGCGACUUGCUACUUAUUUACAUUGCCUUUUUCCAAAUGUUAUAUCAGCUGAAAAUAUUGAUGAAUCGCUUUACAAAUUCCUGCCAUUACCUUUCGAAUUUGUUAAUUUAUGGUGACACAAUUAUAUAGAGAGAGCAUGCAUGUGGAAGUCAGAAGCAAAAGUAGUUAAUAGAGAGCAGACUGAAGACAGGAGAAUAUAUGAAUGACUAGAGAGUGUAACUUUCUUUUAAUGUCAACUGAAAGUGUAUGAAUAAUUUCCUAUGCUUCUUAGGAAAUCCAAUUGUGGUCAAAAUGUUCUUACUAAUCUCAGUAACAUGUAUUCUGCCAAAUACUGUGGUUGGAAUUUAUCAGAUUAUUUUGGAUUGUGUAGUUAAGUUUAUACCUCAAAUUUAUGGCGUAUGUUGUAUAGACAGAUCUUUAUCUUUUGCAAAUGUUGUAACUGUGCGUUCAUUCUGAACAGGGUCGUGGGCUUCUUGCGAAGUGCUAUAGGAAGAUUCAUCACCGAAUAUGAACUUGAUGAUCAAUGGAGAGAAAUAUCAAAUGACCCCCCAAAGAUUCAUAUUGAUGCCCUGCCCCCAGCUGGAAGGUUUGCUCUCUACAUGAGAUAGAAAAGAGAAAAGGAAGUCUUAUGCGCCUUGUCUUUUGAGUAAAGACUAACUGUGUCAUUUUAAUGCAGCAUUGUUUCACUUCAAUAUUUCCUGGGACAAGCACAUAACAAACUUGUGGAGACUGCACGCAUCUAUGAUCCCAAUGGUAGCUUAGUCGCUGAUAGUACUAAGCUGGGAAGGAGAGUGUUCCUAGGGUUCCUCAUAUAUAUCAUCAAUCAGCAUAAAGAUGGACGCAGUUGGUGUGGUGAAUUUUCUAUUGAUGAUCUACUAGUCAGAAAUGAAUCAACAUUUGGAAUCACGAAGGCAGCUUCUUCCCAUGCAAGUUGUAAAGCAAUGGCUAAGGAUCUGAAACAGUUGGCAAAGAUACUAGAGAAACACUUUCGCACAGCUCAAGGGCAGGUCCCUGGCUACUUCAUUAAGCUUUUUUCUGAACUAAAAGAGAGCGCAGGAGAGCUCGGGCAGUACAACUCAGAGAAAACCAGGAAGUUCCAUAAGUAUCUGAGUUCGCAUCUUGCACUCAGGUCUGCGAUGUCAAGGAGGCACCUGUUUAUGGAUUUGUUCCGAGCGUACCAGCUACUUGGGAAAACUGCAAAGAAGGAUUUGAUAUCCCUUCUAGGAUCCAUGUUUCCAGAAGAUAAAUGGCUUGACCAAGUAGACAAGCACCAAAUGUUUAUAAAAGUAUCUGAGUAUGGCAUCGUGGAAGGUGACGCAGAUAAGGCAUCCAACAGUCAAGAUCAGAAGAAGAAAAGAUCAUACAGUGGCGAUCUUUUAGAUUUGCUGGUGUUUAUCCGCCACGUUACUGAGCACGGGGCGGAUCACACGAAAGUACGGGCAUAUGAAAUCUUAAUUUUCUCUUUCAUUUCAUAUAUGUGCAAGUUCAAUUUCCUGACAAGUGUUCAAAACUUUGUCUUUAAGGAUGAUAACAUGGAGCAAAAACUCAAGAGUUUGGUUGAAAUUGACUUGAUAAUUGCUAAGUAUCUUUCGGCUGCUGUUGUAGACCUUAUCAAGGCUUUGGUGAAGAGUGACUUGCUAAAAGACACGUACUUUUUCUUCUCUUGUAUGUUUAUUUGUUUUCUCUUGAAAUAUAUUUGUUGAAAUGAUUAUUUUCCAUAUUGCAGGUUUUCUGACCCGUGGAAUGCGUUUUCUAAUUCUUCCUAAUAGGUAUAUAAAGUUUUACUUAUUUUCCUGCCAUUUGAUCUUCUAGUAAAUUUCAUAGUAUCCAUAUUCUGCAUCUGCGGGUCAACUUUCUUAUUACUACUAUAACAAAGUAGUUGCAUAAUGAUUACUGUCACCGACAAUACCUUGACCCGCACUAUAUAUGAAAAUCCGCUGCAUUUCGUGAAUAGUGGCUAGCACUAAUAACAAUAUCCUGUGAGUCCACUACUUACAUAUUACACACUAUUUACUGUCCCAGGGCCCAUAGGUUUUUUUUUUUUUUGCCAGGUCGGCCAAAAGAUUCGGUCGACCAAUUUCAUUAAGGAAAAGGAUUUUGGAAAACAUUACAAAGAAGCUUACAACGACAGUACGCUGUCGAGAUGGAGAAGGGCUAGGCCCUCAUCCCGUAAGCUGGAGAGGAAAAAAAAAGUACAAUGCCCUAAGGCAAACUCUAAUCAGAGAUGAUCGUUAUUACAUGGUUGGAUAACUCCUGCGGUCUUCCACACUAGGAUUUCCUCCUUGAUAUCCUCCACUAGUUGCUCAGGGGUGCGCACUUUCUGCUCGAAGAUCCUAACAUUACGCUCUUUCCACAGAGACCAGCAGAUUAGGGCGACAACACUGUCAAAGAUGUCCCUGUAGCCGGUCCGAAAAAACCUCCUUGCGUUCGUCCACCAAUCUGUUAGGUUUUCUUCUUCAUGUCCAGACACGGGGAAGCUGAUUCCAAUCCAUUUUUUCAUCAGUAGCCAGACUCUCUGGGUGUAAUCACAAGUGAGCAACAGAUGUGAGCAGCUUUCAUCUUCACGCUGACAUAGCACACAAUGUUCCUCGUGCGGCCAUCCCUUCUUUUCAAGAUUGUCGGCUGUUGAACAGUGACCCUUUGCAGCCAGCCACAAGAAAAAUCUUACUUUGGAAGGUGUCUUGGUGGUCCAGAUCAGCUCACUGGAGACACAGAGCUCCCUGGCCAUGAAGAACAGCUCAUAUGCUGAAGAAACAGAUAACCUCCCGUCAGGUGUUGGCCCAUGGGGUGUAAUACUCCGUUGAUGAACUUUCUUCUUAGCCUCUGUGACAGACCAUUUUCAACCUGAAAGGAAGCAACGAAUCAUGCGUGCACUAUUAACAAUUUCUUCACAGCAUUAUUCCUGCAACCACUUUGCUUCAAACCUGAAGCCACUGUUGCCCCCUUGACAUCACAGAAAUCUUGUAACUCCAAUUAGUAUGGUCACAGGUUUAUGAUCUGAGUAUCUUGGAUCUCGUAGUAUCACCUUAUAUGACGGGAACCUUGUCACCAAUUUUGGGACCCAACAGCCCUAUCAAGUCUGUCUUUUACAUAUUUGUUGGCCUCAUGGCUGUUGUUUCCUCCAGGUCUGUACUUGUCUCCUAAAUAACCAAGAUCAUGAACCUUGUUGAAGUGUUUGGCACAAAGCCAUGGAAGUUGCUGAUGUUGAUUUUCAAGAGCUUCCAAGUCUUACUCUCUCUUAUCUGUCUCUGGUUCCCAUAAGAGCAUGUGAACCAUCCUGCUCCACCAUCACCACAUUAAUAUGAUAUCUGGAAUAAUUGUGAACUCAAUGUUUACAUGUUUCUUCCACAAUAGAGCAAGCCCACCACUUCUUCCACAAUAGAGCAAGCCCACCACUUCAAUAUUUGACAUUCCCAGCAAGUACUUGAACCAACUCGUCCUCUUCUCAUCUAUUUUAGUUUAGUAUCUGGUAAUAUAAAAUGUUGAGGUCCUCUUGCUUCUGGAGGUCCAGAAGCCCUCAACUGCCAGGACAUUCCCCAAUUCCCAGCAGUUCCAAGCUGUUAAUCCUCGUUUUGGCUUGCUGGCCUGUCACUGCAGCCCAGACUUUACAAUUUCUAAAGUGGUGUUUUCUUCCUUUUUCAUCCUCCCCAUCAUCUCUUGCUUUCUUUAACAACCCUGUCUCUACCUCAACCUCCAUCAAGUCAGCAUUCCUCUUACUCCUUUGUUUGCCCUCUCCCCUUGCUAUACGCUUCAAAGUACCUUGCCUUGUGCCUGUUGCUGUCUUUUGAUCACCGCUUUCUACUCUUCUCUGAUCCCCCACUUUCUCAUCAAGCUUAUCACUGGUUUGUCUUGCGCUUGAUCACUCUCCUUUUUAGUUGUUGUUGUUGUUGUUAUAAUAUUGUUCUUCUUCUUCUUGUUGUUCUUGUGGAGAAGAGACAACACGCUAAUUUGGAUCUAUAACCUACUAAUAUUAGGCUUUGGAAAUCUGUGAUAUAUCAUAUAACCGAGCAGACUCGACAUAAAAAAGUUUUCCUCUGGGUCCUAUCUAUGGUUAAUAGUUGCCGACUACAAUUGCCUUGAUUCUUUAAGUGAAACAGUUGGAGAGUACCAUAUGUUUAUCCCAGUUGAAAAAACAGUGGUUAUACCCUUCUUUUUACAAAAAACAGCAGGCGAGACUCCUACACAUAUAGCCACUAAGGAUAAUCAGAAGUUAGGGAGUGAAAUCGGCCUGAAUCUUUUGGACUACCUUAUGCCUGUACUUAGUUAAAACUUUUCACUCCUGAAUAAUAAAUUGUGUUAUGUGUCUAGAUGUGUAUUACAAAUGCAUUUACAUAUGUGGUUUAUGCUUAUCUCUUAUUGUACUACUCUGUACUAUUAGCACAAAUGUGUAUGUGGAUAGGAAUCGUUUAAAUUGUUUACUUUACAUGUUCUGGUUUGCUGAAUCUAUCCGUGCUGAAAAGCCUUCAUUAAAUUAGUUGUUGUUUUUUCUUUUUUUUAAAAAAAAAAAUUCUACGAUGUGCCAUGGUCUGUGCCUCCAUGCCAAAGGCGGGGGGUGGGGUUAUCAUCUGUGGGGUUACUUGGUAGUUUAUAUUAAAAAGAAGAGUAAACUAAAAAGAAUUAGUGGCAAGGAUCAAUUCUGAUAAAAUUUUUAAGGUUUAUAAUCCUAGCAACUGAUGCCAUCAGUUGUGAAUAUGAAUAGCUCCAGCUUCCAGUUAUAAUUUCAACCAUAUAUAUUAUUGAACCCUGUUUCUUAACACCAUCAUCCCAAAAACAGAAACAAACAGCAAUGCAACUACAAAAGCUUCAUCUAUAUGAAAUCCCAAUUCACAUCCAACAUGUGAAACCUACACUGAUACAAUGUUAUCAUAUCUAUGAAACAAACAUUUGUAUGACUAGCUCACCCUUCAGAUAUCUAACAAAAUAAAGCGCACCAACAUGCGAAUAAUUUGUUUGAAUGCCAUUGCCAAACCUACGUAAACCUUGUACUCUUGAAUUUUGCUUUCCAUAGACACUGAGUUCAAAAACCGAUGAUCCAUUUCCUUCCUAUGACUUUUUAGUUUAUACUCGUGAACUUUGCUGGCAAGCCCAAAGCUUUAUGUGUUGUAUCAUAAUAGGGAUAAUAUUUUUAAAAAAAUACAAAGAAGAUUACAAGAUCAGAAUUGACAAAAAAUAGUGGUUAUAUCAUUGGCAAUAUGGGAGUGGGGAACAUCGAUCGUAUUUAGCAUCAAAGACUUAAAUCACCAGCCCCAACCAAUUCCUGCUUGCCCUUGGUGUGGAAGAAGUAAUCCUUUUAUAUCUGUUGAUGCAGGUGGGUUAGCACGCUUGUUGGAGAAGAGAGGCACCACUGCAUAUCUUGUAUUCAAAGUGCCGUCAAGGACUUGAGAGUGCCUCGUUCAGUAAUCAUAGUUAGCUGAAGUCUGUGGUGUAGGUGUUUAGCUUCCAAACUUGGUUAGAAUUUUGAGUUUCCUGCUUACUGGCGUAGUAUGCUUCAUAUUUUUUUCCUUUUUCUUGUUUUGAGGUUGGGCCAGGUGAGGUACCCCCCGCUCUCCAGUAAGGACCCCUGACUGUUAGUUCUAUGCCAGGAGAGUAGUUUUGGUGUGAUGUGUUGGGACUUGGGAGUUGUUCAGUCUUUUUGAGCUUAACCUGUAAAGUUGGUACCCGGCGUGCGUAUGGAUCGGAGCUGGUGAACAGAGAAGGAAGACGCGCACAUUGGGGAUGAUUUUGGAGCGUGUUGACUGUUGAGGACUGGUAGGUUGCUAGGGAAAUCAGCAUAACCUGGAUUACAGCCCUUGUUUGGGGGGUUUGUUCUCUGUCGGUUGGUCUGCAAUGUUUAUUUUAAUCCCCUUUCUUAUUGUUGGCUAUUUCUUGUCAUGCUACCCUCAUGGAAAUAUCGAUCUUUUACAUUAGCAUAUAAAAUAUUAAUUAUUGGACCAUAAAUAAUGCUUAAAGAUAUAAUUCCAUAGCAAUUUAAAUCAAUGGAAUAUAGAAUACUUUGGUAAGAUGGCCAAAAUUGCCAAAAUUCUAUGGGGUCUCUAGCCAAACAAAGGAGGCUGGAGGAAUGUAUCACGAUAGAUGUGAAAGUGGUCUUAUAUAGAUUGCCUGUGAAUUGUAAUACAAAAUUAAUCAGUUGGGAUGGACCGGGAUAAUUAUUUCAUACUUUAUAUAGGCAUGUGCAUGUCUCAAAGUUUGCUAAUUUUGUUUGUUGUACUAAUUGAUAAGGCUGGUGUAUGCUUUUCUAGGAGUAUCAAGUUAGUAAUAGUGAAAAAUUCUUUUAGAAGUGGUAGAAGAGUUACCUGGUUUUUUUAACCUUAAUAGUUGCCUGAUUUUAGCUCAACAUCCAUAGCAUAAGGAGCCCAUUGGCUAAACAAUCUCAACGCACAGUUUGAGAGAUGAUCAUAACAAAAUCUGAUAGUAAGAGAUUGAUGUUACCAGCUGAUAGUCUGUCAAACAAUUUAGAGGAUUGGUGUUAUUCAUCUUUUUUCUGGAACAAACAAUACCACAUGUAAUCCAAAGGAAAAGAUACAUACAGAAUAAAGCUAAUGUAACAUCUACAUGCUAGCAAAAGUCCACAAAAGAGAGAGAGCUAUAGAGGUGUGGAGCUGAUAGUAAAAAUCAAAACAUAUACAAAUUCAGCUAGGAAAAGUGUGAAACUGUACGGUAGCUAGGUAAGCAACCAGCAGUAGCUAUCCGCGAGAAAGUACUUGGAUGAAGUAGUAAAAUAAUUGAUUGUACAUCAACAAAUCUAACAUUUACUCAGAUGAAAUUUCACAUGCUGCGCUCGGAAACUGGAUGCUAAGUGCUAACAUGUGAGCAAGAACCAAAGAGGGAGAAAAAGAUGAUAUUGCAGUUACAUUACGCUUGAUAACUCGAUUUACCUUGGCUGCGUAUAUCUAUUUAGAUGUAGAAUUCAGGUAUUACCCAUUAGUUUUAAAAAAGAAAGCCCGCGGCCACUCACAUUUGUGGUCCAAUCGAUUGAUAAAGAGCACUCCACAUUAGGGUUGAUGAUGGAGAAUUACAAUGUAAUUAAAGAGGAUAACGGAGAGAGGGAUUAAUCACCGCAAUUGAUAUUUCAUUAAUAACUAGUUGGGUGGCCUUGCGCGGCUAGCACCCAUACAAAAUUAUUUAUUUUUUAAUGUGAUUUUGCUUAAAAUUUGUUAAAUAUCUAUCUCGUUGUCUUAGGAUUUUGAGAGACCGAACUUUAUCAUCCGCGCGUUUCUAAUUUUAUAGGUUUUAAAAGUCACUUCGGUCGCUACCCCUUACUCAUUUCUCAGGUCUUUAUUUACUUGUCGAUCUAUCACUUUUUUAUUCAUAUCUUCCAUGAAACCUUUAAAAAUUAGAUCUUUUAGUUUUUAGAGUUCAUUGUCUUUGAAUUUUGUUUUUAUAAUUUUUUUAAAGUUACGUCAAACACCGCCAUUAUACUCCUCUAUGGCCCCUCCGCUGCCUCCUCUAUUUAUUAUCAUUGGGAUUUUAAAAAUCAAACAUAAUUAUUGUUUGUGUUUAUUUAUUUUUUUACUUUCUGGAAGUCCCGCUAAACCGUCAGUGGCUUUAUCAUUGUACUCCUCUGCGCGUGACCCGCCCGUUGCCUCCCCUCUUUAUUGUCAUUGAGUAUUUAAAAAUUGAGCAUGAUUAUUAUUGGGAUUUAUUUUUCUACUUUCUAGAAUCCCGCCAACUGCCAUGAUCAUGUUGCUUAAUGGUUUGUUCGUUGUCGCAUCUCUUAAUCGUCAUUGGGAUUCUAUUUGGAGUUUUCUUUAUAUGUUUAUAGUUUUUACAUGUCCCACCAACUGCCACCACUUUACUCCUAUGCAGGCUUAUUGUUUUUCGCCCUCUUCAUUGUCGAUAUUGCUGUCUGAACUAUUCUUUUCGAAAAAUCCAUAUUUUUCAUUUUUAUAAUUUUUUAUUUGUAAAUUGUAUUCAUACUUGAACUCUUAUAAUUAUUUUUCUAUUUUUGAAAUUUAUUUUAUUUGUUAUUUUGAAUUUUAGUUAAUCUCAUCACAUGUUCUAUAUGGUCUAUUAUUUUAAUAUUUUUAUUUUUAUUGCGAAUUUUAAUUAUUUAUAAAUUGUAUUUCUAGUUGAACUCUUUUUUUAUUUUUAUAAUUCCUGAAUUUAUUUUAUUUUUUAUUUCGAAUUCUAAUUAAUCUCGUGCUAUGUUAUUGAUUGAUUAAUUGUUGUUUUAAUAUUUUUUAUGCUGAAUUUUAAUUAUUAAAAAUAUAUAUUCCUACUUGAACUUUUCUUUUCUUUCCUAAUUUCAGAAAUUUAUAUAUUUAGUAUUCCGAAUUUUAAUUAAUUAUGUAUUUGGUUCUUAUAUGAACUCCUCUAUCAAUAUUGCUUAUUUUAAAUUCCGAAUUAGUUAUUUCAAAAUUGUAUUCCUACUUAAACUCUUAUUUUCUUUUUUAAUUUCAAUUUUUUUAUUUUUAUUCUGAAUUUUAAUUAAUCACGUAUUGGGUUCUUAUAUGGACUACUCUUUCAAUAUUUCUUCUUUUUAAUUCCGAAUUUGAAUUUUUUUUAGAUUGUAUUUCUAUUUGGACUCUUCUUUUCUUUUUCUUCAAUUAAUGUGUGAAUUUCUAGCCCUCACAGCGUAUAUGGUGCCUUCUUUUUGAGCUGUGUUAAUAAUAUAACUAGCCGGGUGGCCCACGCAAUUGCGCGGCUAGCACCCAAACAAAAUCAUAUUUUUUUCAGUAUGAUUUUACUUAAAAUUUACUAAAUAGCUAUCUCGUUGUCUUAAGAAUUUGAAAGACCAAACAUUAUGAUCCCCGUAUUUCUAAUUAUAUAGUUUUUAAAAGUCACACCCAGCUGCUAUCCCUUACUUCUAUCAUAUCAUUCUUUAUUUGAUUGCUUGAUCUACCACUAUUUCUAUUCAUUCUCCUUUAAACCUUUAAAAAUUAGAUCAACCGCCACCACUCUACUCCUGUAUAGGCAUGUUACUUAUUUUAUCUCGUCAUGUGUUUUAGAUGGUCUUUUCUUUCAAUAGUCUUUAUUUUUUAUCACAAAUUUUAAUUAUUUACAAAUUGUAUUCCUAACUGAAAUCUUUUUUCUUUUUCUAAUUUCAGAAUUUAUUUUUUUCAAAUUUUAAUUAAUACAGUAUAGUGUUCUUUUAAAUUUAUUUUUUAUUUUUGAAUUUCAGUUGUUUCAAAAUUACAUCUCUACUUAAACUCUCUUUGAUUUUUCUAAUUUUGGAUAUUUUUUUAUUUUUUUAAUUCCGAAUUUCAGUUAAUUUUAAAUUGUAUUCCUACUUGAACUCUUCUUAUCUUUUUGCUAGUUUCGGAUUUUAUUUUUAUUUUUAUUCCGAAUAUUAAUUAAUCUCGUAUCGGGUUCUUAUAUGGACUCUUCUCUCAAUAUUCCUUAUUUUUAAUUCCGAAUUUCAGUAAUUUUUAAAUUGUAAUCCUACUUGGACUCUCCUUUUCUUUUCUAAUUUCGGAUUUUAUUUUAUUUUGUGUCAAACAAAAUCAUAUUUUUUAAGUAUAAUUUUACUUAAAAUUUAUUAAAUAGCUAUCUCAUUGUCUUAAGACUUUGAAAGACCAAACCUUAUCAUCCUCGUGUUUUUAAUUAUAUAGUUUUAAGUCACACCAGUUGCUAUCCUUUAUGUCAUCUCCUUCUUCAUUUGCUUGCUCGAUCUACCACUAUUUCUACUUAUUCUUCUUGAAAUCUUUUAAAAUUGGAUUUUUAUAGUUUGUAGAGUUUAUUGUCACGUUGGGUUUCGUUUUUAUAAUUUCUAGAUUUCCCGUCAAACGUUGCCAUUAUACUCCUCUAUGGUCCAUCCACUGUCUUUCUCUUUAUUGUCAUUGAGAUUUUAAAAAUCGAACAUAAUUAUUGUCUGGGUUCAUUUUUACUCUCUAGAAGUCCUGCCAAACCGUUAGCGGCUUUGCCAUUGUACUCCUCUAUAGCUCGCCCGCUGCCUCCCUUCUUUAUUGUCAUUGAGAUUUUAAUAUCGAACAUGAUUAUCAUUGCUUUUUUUUUUACUUUUUAGAAGUUCCAAACCUUUAAAAAUUAGACUUGUAGUUUCAUUUUUUAUAAUUUUUAGAAGUCCCAUUAAACGAUGCCAUUAUGCCUCUCUAUAGCCCGUCCGCGGCCUACUCUUUAUUGUAUUCCUACUUGAACUCUUCUUUUAUUUUCUUUUUCUAAUUUCAGAUUUAUUUUUAUUUUUAUUCUGAAUUUUAAUUAAUCUUGUAUUGGGUUCUUACAUGGACUCUUCUUUUAAUAUUUGUUAUUUUUAAUUCCGAAUUUCAGCUAUUUUUAAUUUGUAUUCCUACUUGGACUCUCAUUUCAUUUUCUAAUUUUGGAUUUUAUUUUAUUUUUAUUUUGAAUUUUGAUUAAUCUCGUAUUGGGUUCUUAUAUGGAAACUUCUUUCAAUAUUGCUUAUUUUUAAUUUCGAAUUUCAGCUAUUUUAAAAUUGUAUUUCUAGUUGGACUCUUCUUUUCUUUUUCUCUGAUUAAUAGAUAGAUAGAUUACGGACGUUACUAAUACUUGUACGCAGGAUUUUUUGCCAGUCCGUUCAUCGCCACAUCGUGUGGAAGGCAUUUCUUCUUCCCCGUAGCUGAAAUUCAGAUUUAAAAAUACAUAGUCUAUAUAUAAAUACAAUUUAAAAAUAGCUGAAAUUAGGAUUUAAAUAUAUGGAAUAUAGGAGCAGGGAGCAUUUUUACCCGUGGUUCAAUCGAUAUGGUGCUUGGUGCAGGUGGAAAAAGUUUUUUUUUUUUCGUAUGCACAAGACUCACUCAGAUCAUGUGCUUGUGGGAGUUGGCUUCAAGAGGAGAGGAAUGACAUCUCAAAAGCGUGUUUCGUUAAAAUGCCAAUAUGAAGCGCGUGAUCACAGCCAUUUUGCCAUUUUCAAUUCCAUAUUUGCUGCAAUGUGGCUUGAUGAGACCAAAUUACCCCUGCUCACCCAGUUGCUGCUGCUUCGUCACCACAGCGACAGAGACAUCCCGACGGAGCUCCUGGCGGUUCUUUACCGCCAGCGUCCGCGCCGACCUCCGCCCGGUCUUCGCCUUCCUCACCGACGACCUCGCCGUCCCGGACACCACCUAACGCCGCGUCGUCGUCAAAUGCCCCCAGACCCUCGCCUGCAGCGUCCGCGACCAGCUCCGCUCGGCGCUCCUCUACCUCUGCCGCCUUGGCUUUCACGACGGCCGUGCUCUCUGUCUUCAGGACCCCAUCCUCGACUGUUCGACGGCGAGGAGGCACCCCCAGCCGACGCCGACGUGCGCUGUUCCUAAAAACGGACCGGUGCUCGCCUGCUCGGACUCACUUGGGGCGCGGGAUGGAGGCAGCGAGCCGGUGAGCAGCGGCACGCAUGUUUCGUGACUGUCACGCCCGGAAAUAUACACCAUUUCCAAACGCUCAGUGCAUUAAUCCUCGUCCCAGGAGGCGAGGUACACAUAGACAUUGUUGAUUAUUACAUGCCACACUUGCGGAAACGUAAAGGAGUACUUGAUUACAUGGGCGACUUAGGCCCUCACACUCAAAGAUAAACAAAUAAAACAGCGGAAGACUACGGAACAGCAGCAGCCACAGGCACUCGACGGCGGAGCGAACUAGAGAUCCAAGCCUUCACCUUCCUCAGGUCCAUCCUCUGGAUUAUUUUUGUGAGCAAGAGUGAGUACCACCACCGUACUCAGCAAGUCACACCGGAAAUGCAACAAUAAUGCGUAGGGAAAACAAGGAAAUGGCCUAAUAGGGUUUAUUUUGCAUAAAGCCAUAAUUUAAACAUUUUAAUCAAGUUAAAGCUCAUUUUAAAACACGAUCCUGUUCUAAGCCAAUAUUUUAAUAUCAUCAAGGUCGCAUGAGCCUGCGAACCUGCCUUAACCCAGGCUAAUCUCCACAUGACUACACCAUCAUGAUUUCACCCUCCAAUGUUUUAUAAAACAAAACUAACUUUGGGUACAUUGCUCAGCUUGCCCAUAACCGAGGGCGCGGCUAUUCGAAUAGUUUUUAACUCUGAUCAGAGGUGUACAACUUUACCCACAAGACACAACCUCAACACGCGUUGCCACGCGCCGGGUACCACCACGGUACUCGGAUAGAGGUCGUGACAAGACUAUCCAUCUAGGUCUACCCAAAACAGGAGAACCCGCUGAGGUUUCGCCGCCCGCCGGUCCCCGACAAGGUAAAGGUUGUCGGAUCCCCCGGGACGAGUCAGGCCCCCCCUUGCGCCGGGUGAAAAACGGCCUUAAUCCUGGCCCCACACCCUUCCAACCAAUGGUCUCUGUUUUGAGAAGAUCUAAAUUUCCAGUCAGGCCUUACCCACUAGACUUGUGGUUGCACGAAGAUGCCUUGCAACAGAGGCCCGAAGACCGGUCCUUAUAUUAGCCGGGGUGCGACUACCAAAGUAACUAGCUUGCACCCCAAGCCCAGCCCAAAAAAAAUAUAUUUUAGUUGCACAAAUCAUUUUAUCACCCAUCUAUUGACAAACCAGUCAAUAGUCCAUAACUAAUCCAAUUUUAGUUGUUAACCACCAAAGUCUAGUUUAACCAAAAGUUCUAGGUUGGAACUAAGCAUGACUAAGCAUUUACCUAAAGCAACUAGUCAGUCCAUCAUGUAGGGUACUAGACUAGUCAAGUUAUAAUUUUACUAGGGUUCACAAAGAUCAUGGAUAUCAAAUCAACAUCAUGGCCAUAACCAAGAGCAUAGGAAUAACUAAUAAAACAAUAUUAAUAAUGAACGGUAUAAUUUAUAAAGCAAUGCAAUAUAAGUAAAACAACAUAAUUUUCACAAUAUGGGAUUCAACAUGUUCAAGGUAGAUAUGACUUGCCUUGAUCGCUCACAAAGUCUUCGGCGUCAACGGCGAUGAAGAGCUGAUCUUCCGGAACGGCAGGAUCUACACGACCAACGCGAAGAAAUACAAAAGGACUAAUAAAAACCAUAUGAACAGAAGCAAUAAAGCACAUAAAUGGAUUCUACUCAUUUUUAGGAGAAAUUAGAGAUUUGAACGGGUCGAUUCCGAGUUCAAACGGUCAAGAUAUGGCCAUUUGAAGUUUAGGUGUUGUUUAAAUGGAAAUUUGCAAUUUUGUGAAUUAUUUUUCUAAAGGAAAUUGAUUUAUUGCACAGAGAAGAGAGAGAGGGGUCCACGGGCGGGUCCCACUUGGCAGCCGCUCGGUCCACUGUGAGCCGAGAGCACCGAGGUGGCUCACGGUGCACCGAGGCACAGACACGGCCGGGCAGGAGCAGCACCCGGCCAGGCGGCUCGCCGGCGACGGCCAACGGCGCGGCGGCAGUGCGACGGAGAGCGGAAAGGGGAAAAACGGAAAGGGGAGGAGACGACGGUUCUCACCGAGCAGACACGGCGGCGAGAGGUCGACGGUGUUGCCGGCGGUGAGGAAGAAACGACGAGAAGCUUCGGGUCGUCGGCGUCGGCGUCGUUCCCGCGGUCCUUGUACUCGACGGAGGGGUGGACGGGGAAGAGGAGGAAGCGACGAAGCGGAUGGUGGCGACGCCGGGCUCCGACGAGGUCCCGACCACCGGCGAGGGGCGGCCGGAGUUGCGACGGCGGCGGCACAAGAAGAGAGCGGCGCGGCGGCCGCGGAGAGAGGAGGGAGAGGGCAGCGGUGUGAGGGGAGAGAGGAGGGAGUCGGGGGUCCCUUUUAUAGGCCGGAGGGGAGGGAGAGAGGCGCCGGGGAGGGAGAUCGACGCGGGGCAUGGUGGAGCUCACCAUUGAUGAGCAUCAUCAAAAUCCACCACGAAUAAUGUGGGAUUGAGUGGGAAAUUAUGGGGGAAUUGGAGAGGAUGAGGUGGGAAUUAAUUCCCCUCAAUUAAUUUGAUGAAACGGCGAGUGGAGGAGGCGAAUCGGAGGUUGCCGUCGCUUGGAAUUCGGCCGGAGAGAGAGAGGAUGGCUGGAGGUUAGGGAUGACGAGUGGGACCCACCUGUCAUCGAGUAGGAGCACGCCUGUCAGGCUGGGCGCGCAGGGGAGGUGAAGCAGACUUUUGUCCGAGGGAGAUGGGGAGCAGUUGAGCCAGCCCAAGGAGAGGGAGGGGGAGGGGAGAGAGGGAGGGUGAGGGGGCGGCUGGGCUGGGCUGAGAGGAGGGGGAGAGAGAUGGGCUGCAAACAGCCCAACAGGAGGAAGAUGAUUUCUUUUAGCUUUUCCUUUUUGUAAAAUUCUUUAAUUGUUUUUGUUGCCUUAAAAUUAUUUAGGAUGCUCUGAAAAUUCAAGUAAAAAUUGGUUAAACAUUUUUAAGCAUGGGGAAUUUAUUAAAAAUACCCACAAGCCAAUUUGACAUAAAUCUUGGUGAAUUUUAAUUGUUGGAGGCUCUUUUAGGCUUUUAAAAUUUCUAGAAAUGCAUUAAAGCACGAUUUAAAUUUAGGGCGAUUUUCAGGGCGUUACAGUGACGCCUACCCGCUGGUCUGCUCGCCGACGACCACGUCCCACCGCCUCGCUGUCCCAUGCCUCGUCGGGUCGCCGGCUCCUCCACAAGGACCUACUGCACACUACCGCAUGCAUCCUGACAGGAUUCACCCCAAACACCUGCAAGACACCGACAUACUCCUCCGGCACCAUCAAGAUUUGCAAACUAGUACAAGCGUGUAUCCAUCUCAGGGACAGAGAAAGCAAGCACAACCGUUCAUAUCGAUCCCCAACAUGAAUGCUUCUUUGAAUGAGACAAAAGAAACACCAAUCAAACAAGAGAGCAAUAACCAUGCGAGGUGAUGUGGAUAUUGAAAAAAAAAUAAGGAAGAGCAAAGGGAGAUGGGGACUGAUUUGCGAGGAGGAAACGACGGUGCCACCACGGCGGAGCACAAGUGCCGGCAGGAUCGUUGGGAACCAUGCGGUGGCCGUGAGCGGCCGCAGCCGCCAGGGAUCGCCGCGAAGGUCCAGCGCCUCGCGCAGGCGGUGGCGAGGUCGUGACCUCACCGGGCACCAGCCGAACAUGUGGGGCCCUACCGUUUCUUCCUCCUCGUCGAAGCUGGAGGGAGGUGGAGGCGUAGAAGCUGCAGAACGGCAUCGCUGCGCGGCGACCUCUUCUCUUCCCUCCGAUUCGAGCAGAGGAGAAGAGAGUGGGGAGAGGGGCAAAAUCGUCUCAUCAAGCUCUGCCCCAACGAAAAUGAAAUCGAAAAUAAAGAAAAUGGAAAAGUGGCUAUGGUUGUGCGGUCCAUAUUGGCAUUUUAACAAUCGCGGUUUCAGAAUAGCAUUCCAGUGUUUUGAGAAUGGCUAAAUAUCCAUUUUCUCCCUGGAGACAGAUCAAGGAACAAGAAGAGAGACGUGGCUUAAUCCUAUGCGUAGAAAAAGACACAACGGUUCAGAUUAGGUGAAAAUCCAACUCCCGUCUUUCCCGAGGCGGGUGAGGGGGGAAAGAGAGAAAAAAAAAAAAAAGGAAACCUCAAAUUCCCCAUUCUUCCUCGUCUUGGGGCACAACUCCGAUUUAGGGUUAGCUCCUCCUCCUCCUCAUCGCUGAUUAGGAUUCGAUUCGACCGGAUCCCUCGCCGCCUUCGCCAUGGAUGAUGGUGAUGAGCCCGUCCCCUACGUCAUGGAUGAGGGUGUGCUACUACCCUUGCUGUUUCCGCCGCCGCUGCCGGCCGACGACGACGCCACCGCCGGCGUGAGCCCAAGCUGGGUGUACCUCGAAGACAGAGCUUACGUCUCCCCCGAUGCCGUCUCCAACUCCACCACCGCCUUCUCCACCACCACCACCGGCGUAAGCAUCCAUGUCUCCUUCUGCCUCGCCCGCCCGCCGCGCCUCUCCUACCUCUGCGUCCACUGCCCCCGCCCCGGCGACGGCGAGGGCGCCUACCGGUUCACUGUCGAUCCCCGAGUCCUCGGCACGCACACCGAUGUAGCCCUCCUCCGCGUCCCGCACCCCAACGACGGGCUCCACCGCGGAAUCAAAUCCUACGACUACUUCGUCUACACGGCCCGCCCAGGCCCGGGCGCCUCCUUGCUCCGGCUGCUGCCGAACCCGCGGGUCUCCCCCUUCCGCAACGAGGAGGUCGCCAUCGUCCGCUGCUCCGGCGGCGCCCGCUACGUCAUCGCCUGCCUCAUGCCAACCAUCAGGCGCCCCAUGGAGUUCAAGGUUAUGCGCUUCGACUCCGACGUCGGCCGCUGGAAAUCCACAGCUGUGUCCAUCAGUGAGCCGGUCGAGAGGGACAGGGUGCUCCCCAUCCCUGACACGGCCAGCCAGAUGGUCUUCCACUGCACCACCAAGGUCAUCACGCUCGGCGGCACCAUCGGCUGGGUGGAUCUCUGGAGAGGGAUCCUGCUGUGUGACGACGUGCUUGACCAACACCUGGUGCUCCGCGACGUGCCACUGCCCAAGCCAGCGAGAAGCAACCGCAAAUCCUUCUGCAGAGGGCCGCCGCAUCAUUACCGGGACAUCACCGUUGUCGUGCAGGACUCUGUUCCCACCUGCAUCAAGUACGUUGAGAUGGUGACCCGCCCCGGUGAUCGGCCACCUCCUCGACAACGACAGCCGCCGCAACAUUCUGAUGACUCUGACUCUGAUGAGGAAGAGGACGUUGCUUACUACUGGAAGGCUAACAUAUGGAGCAUGCCGAUACCAGUUGGUUCAUGGGAGGAUUGGCAGAUGGAGUGCACGGUGGAUGUCACUGACAUCGCCGUCGACAAUGUCAGGUUCAGUGAGCUGCUGCCAAAGAUUGGCAAUGAUCCAGAGGAGACAUUGAGGAGGCUGGUCACAGGUUUCCCCACAUUGGGUAUGGAUGGGGAUGUCAUUUCUUUCCUGUCCAAGAUCAAUCGCUUGGAUGAUAAGGGAUGGGUUAUCUCUGUUGAUCUGAGGAGUAAGACGCUGCAAGGCGUGGCUGAGCUUGAUGAGAGGAAGAAUUUCCUCUUCAAGCGCUACUACAACACCAGUGAGAUCUCCAAAUAUCUUAUCAAGGCUACAGGUUUGUUUUAUAACUGUUGCACCAUAAUAGUCAAAUAAUCUAAUGGAUAGUUCAUAACCUUCUUCAUUUUGACUACUGUUUACAAGUUGUCAGGUUAGAAACUUGAUUCAUGAGUGUGUUUUUCAGAGUGCACUCCUAGGAUUUGUUUUUGAAGUGCCACUUAAACCCUCUCUGUGUAUGUUGUGUGUUUGAUGCAGGUGAGGCAGGAACUCUUGUAAAAACUGGGGUUAAUAGUAGAGUCUCAAAAAAGAAGAAGUAGGAAUUAAUUAAUGAAUCACGUAGGCUACCUGGGUUGAAGAAAUGAAACGAGCUGCAGAGACUGGGCGAUUCAUGAGCUACUUUCUGUAAUGAGCUAUUAUCAGAGUUGUUCUGUGCAAGACAUGCUACUUUCUGUAAUGGAUUUGGUUUUCGUCUGUUUAUCCCAAGUUAAACUGCUAUCUUCCCCUGAUGAUUGGCCUGAAAUGGAUGCUCAGGAAUUUUCUUCGGUUAUUAUACUGUAAUAAAAUGUCAAGCUGGCGACCCCAUCGUUAGAGUUCGUGUUUUACCUUUCGUUUUGUAAUGAACUCUCUUGCUUUUGGGUUUUCUUCAAAAGCAAGAUUUCAUUCGAAAUCAGAAUUUUUUUUCUUCAAAAAAUUUCGUUCGAAAUAUCAGAAUUUGUCCGAAAUUUCGGAAUUUCGGUGCCCACCGAAAUUUUCUUGUUUCCCGAAGGGAAAACCCUGGCUGGAGGACUAUCCGUCGGCUGGCGAGGAACGGCGGCGGAGCUCCGGCUGCUGUAGGGAGGGAGGCACCCGCGUGCCGGCGUUGGAUUUGAUUGGGCCUCACCGAAAUUUCGGUCCGAAAUUUUGAACAAAAUUUAGUUGAAUUUGAACAAAUACUACCAAAAUUCAUGAAAAAAUUCGGUCGAAGUAAUAUCGUAAGAAAUUCGGUCCGAAAUUUCACCCUGAUCGCAAUUAGCGAGCGAGAUAGGCGGGAGCUCGGAAUGCGUGUGGGGUGGGCGCAAUCCAAUCCAAAGAGGCGUUCGUCGAUCUCCGAUCGGAUCGUCUCCGUGAUUCGCCAUGGAUGAUGAUGAGCCCAUCCCCUUGGAUGACGAUCUCCUCCUGCCAUUGCUGUUUUCGCCUCCGCUCCCGGCCGACGACGAUGAUGGCGGCGGCGUGAGCCCAACCCCAAGCUGGGUGUACCUCGACGCGAGUGCCUACGUCUCCCCCGACGCCGUCUCCAACGCCACCACCGCCGUCUCCACCACCACCAC